CGGGGCGUGGCGCAGCCUGGUAGCGCACUUGCAUGGGGUGCAAGGGGUCGCGAGUUCGAAUCCCGCCGCCCCGA
Sulfuritalea hydrogenivorans sk43H is the source of this 74-nucleotide transfer RNA. It matches the Rfam family "tRNA". Rfam says of the family: Transfer RNA (tRNA) molecules are approximately 80 nucleotides in length. Their secondary structure includes four short double-helical elements and three loops (D, anti-codon, and T loops). NCBI's taxonomy places the organism in Bacteria, Pseudomonadati, Pseudomonadota, Betaproteobacteria, Nitrosomonadales, Sterolibacteriaceae. The record is from Rfam.